GCACUUCAGGAGUGAAUAGCAGCAGGCCAGUAAACACGAAUGAAGGAUCUCCAGAGAGGUCACGGGAGGUCAUGAAAGUAACAUCAGUUCCUAGGAAGAGAAAGUGGAGUGAGGUGGAGAUUGCGGCUGUAGAAGAGACAAUGAUGAAAUUUAUUCACUCGGGAGUUACACCUGGAAAAGUCGACUACAUUGCAUGCAUUACAGCAGCCCCCCAAAGCCCUCUGUGAACGAGACUGGCAGGCGGUGAAGUAUUAUAUAAAAAACAGAAUCACAGCAUAUGAGAGAAAGACCACUAAAAAGUAAGGUUGAUUUUGGUUGUUGAUUCCGUUUUUGCGUUUUAGUUGAAUUAUAAUAUUUUUUUUUUGGUCUCAAUACUAGGGCUGCACGAUAUUGGGGAAAAAGGACAUUGCGAUAUCUUAUUUUUCUGCGAUAUAUAUUGCGAUAUGAUAUCUAAUCUAAUUUUUUCUUACAAACAAAAAUGGCAUGAGCACACAUACAUUCUCAUUUUAAAUGAUUUAAACAUCAGAGUAUUGUUUAAAUUAGAGUAAAUUAUUUGUUUGUAACUUUAGGAUAUGGUUUGAAUUGUUAACAUUAACUAACAUGAACUUACCAUGAGCAAUACUUGUGUUACUAUAUUUUUUAAUCUUUGUUUAUCUUAGUUAUCUUAAACACAGCUGUUCAUUGUUUGGUAAUGUUACUUCACAGUAGGGAUGCACCGGUUGACCGGCCAUUAAUCGGAACCGGCCGGUUUUUGCUUAAAAUACGCAAUCGCCCGUUUUUGGUGUUUUUCCGGCCGAUUUUUCCGGAAGUGCAACAUUUUGGAAAAUGUAUUUAUAUAGCAUACUUUUAUUUAGUCUCACUGGUAAAGACCUUUUUUUUUUUUAACUUAAAACCAAAUUUAAAAACUAAAAUACUGAAUGCUGAUCAAGAAACAUCUUAUUGAAUGUGUGUUGAUUGUGUUGUUUGGACUGUAGAACUAUGCAGUUGUUACCUUUAAUUUCACAUGGUUACAGUUAAUCUUUUAUUUAAGGCCAGUUCUCUGUAGUUUCAACCCAAUUCAAAAACAAAAGUUAAAUGCUGAUGUCUGUACCAUCUGUGUUUGUAUUGAAUGUAGGCUACUUAUUGUGCAGUUACUGCUAUUAAUUUAAUAAACAAGAUUUGACAACACAGAACACGUCAUAGAAUUAUAAUUUUUUUUUCCGACAUCGUUUUUUGAUUUUGAUAAAUUUGCGCGAGGGAGAGAGCAAGACAACGCUUGUGUUGUUUGAAGACGGUGAAGGUGGGCGUGAGCGCGUGGCUGGGCCCUCUCUCUCUCUCUCUCUCUCUCUCUCUCUCUCUCUCUCUCUCUCUCGUGCUCUUUCUCUCUCUCUCUCUCUCUCUCUCUCUCUCUCUCUCUCUCUCUCUCUCUCUCUCUCUCUCGUGCUCUUUCUCUCUCUCUGCUCGUUCUUAUGCGCUGUGUUAAACUGCUAGGACUUAAACUGUGCAAUUAAUCCGCGAAUCACAUUCGUCAAGGGCCGGGGAGCAGCUGCCCAUACAGUUAAUGAAUAACGGAUCAACUACGACAGCCUACAUCGCACAUCCUGCAAUGUGACUAUCGUGAAUUUGUACAUCGCGAUAUCGAUGCUUAAACGACACAUCGUGCAGCCCUACUCAAUACCGUAGUUGAAACAUUAUAAUGUAACUUAAGUUUUGAAAGAGUUAAAACGGCUUGAUGUUGGUUGUAAAUUUGGUGCUUGGACUUCCUUGUUUUUAAUGCUGUGUCAAGUGAUAAGCAGUUGGUGUAAAUGUUUUUUCUAAUUGCGUAGAUUAGUUUUACUGUACAGUAGCCAUACGACAGAGUGAGUGUCUAUAGUAUUCAAUCCCUUUAUUCAGGCCCCUUUACGUUUCACAUUUUAAUUGUAAAUUGAUAAAUUUAUUUUCUGAUGGCACAUUAGACGAAACGCAUCAUAAAAACUAUGUUGUAAUAUCUGAUGGCAAGCACUGAACCCAUACUGUACUGAUUAAAUUUGGCUGUAGAUUCAAUUUGUAUCAAGGUCGUUUUUAUUUCUCUUGGAUUUCUUUUAAUGACUUAAAGAUUAAAUUCUUAGAGCAUUUCAAAACCAGACAAAAAAAAAAAAAAAACAUUCCACUGAUAAUGUUCAUAAUUUUAGACAAUUUAAGAAUUGUAGCUCUGAUCUAACCUUUCCGAAUGUGUUAUUACUGGUUAACUACAGGAUACUUAACUUUACUUCAAACAUAAUUCAUACUUUUAAAAGUAAGCUUACCAUGUAUACGUUUAAUUGGUAUGGUAAUUAAAAAAAAAAAAAUUGUGUGUAUUUACUUAUUGUGUGCUCUGUCAGGUUUAGGGUGGGUGUUUGUAAAAGCACUCUGUGACAACUUUAUUUUAAAGGGCUUUAUAAUAUAUAUUAGAUUGACUUUGAUAAGAGCAGCAAAAUCACAUUCAACGUACGUCUCUCAUGGGUCAUAAUAAUCAGUAAAUUUAGCAACUAAAUUGUGUAAGAAUGAGUUAAAUGCAGUAUAUGAUUGUGGCAGUCUUAGUGGACUGAAAUGGCUUGCAGUUGAAAAUUGCAUGUUGUUCAAGUUCAUUUUUGAAGUUAAGAUGAACUAACUUAUUAAACCACCCUAUUUUUAACAAACCAAUAUAACUUCCAGAAAUACCAUUAUGCAUUGGCCAGCUGGCCAUAUUAUGACCUUUCUUUGUCUGUAGAUUACACUGGUUUGUCCCCAGAUUGGACAUCCAUGUGUACUUACUCAUACACUAGUUGGUCAGGGUUUUGUCCCCAGAUGGGACUUCCGUUAAUGCCCAUAUAAGGAGUUGUCCCCGUGUCCCCACAUGUGUUAACCUGACCUGUCCCCAGAUUAUCACCUACCCUUAUUUUAAUGAAUUAAUUACAUUUUAAGUGAGAUAUUUAUUAAACUUUUUUUUUUAGAUUUUUUGAUGUGUUUAUCUAGUCUCUAGGAUGUCAGGAAAGUGGUGUCCCCAAAAUGUGGUAAAUAACUGGUGCCCCCACGAGGCACCCCAAACAAGUAUGUGUGAGUGUGUGAGUGUGUGUGUCUGUGUGUUUGUGUGUGUGUGAGUGUCUGUGUGUGUGUGCGCGUGUGUGUUUGUGUGCUUGUGUCUGUGUGUGUGUGUGUGUGUGUGUGUGUGUGUGUGUGUGAGUGUCUGUGUGUCUGUGUCUGUGUGUGUGUGUGUGUCUGUGUGUCUGUGUGUGUGUCUGUGUGUGUGUGUGUGUGUGUGUCGGGGGUCACACUGAAGCAGGUCAGCAGGUGAGGGAGGCUCAGCGUCAGACAGCAGACAGACAGGAGCUGCUCGCAGCAAGCGCAGACAAGACUCUGUCAGGAGGAAUAUUGAAGUAUGUGGAGGUCGCCGGCCGAUUAGAGCCAUAUGACUGAACAUGAGGGAGAAGAAUGCAGAAACAGUCGUGAAGCGCCUCGUUCUCACCCCUGCUGGCCUGCCGUUUAUUGAAGGGCUCAUUUGUUUGUUUUUGGCAUAGUCUGAAUGUGAUUUUGAUGCUCAGAGUCAGGUGAUCUGAAGGGGAGGGGCUUGCUCAUUCUACACAGAAUCUGAUUGGACAUAAAUUAGUGUAAUAUAAUGUCAGUUAGAGAUUUGGUCCACUUUCUUAUGAGAGUAUUCCAUGGGGUCUUUUAACAUGGAAAGAUUCACAUUCGAAUGAGGACAGAAUGGAAUAAUGGAGUAAUGUGGAAUUAAAACUGAUUAAAACGGACUGUUUUUUUUUUUGCUAAAUUGAUUCCAGCUCCAUCGCACAAACUGAUGUUCUUCCUCUGUAUUUAUGUCUUGUCUUCCAGCUCAAAUAUUUAUGUGGAGAUGCACGAGAACAUCAGAUAAUAAAUGAAAGUGGUCAAAAAAUGAGUUUAUGAUUAAAACAAGAACAAAUAUCUGCCAGUGAGCUCAGAAAAAUAAACUAAAUUCAAAAGGAAACCAAGAUGAUUUUCUGAACCCAUUGGUACAUAUUGGUUCUUGUUGUCAUAAACUCGCUUCAUUUGGAUCAGUUUCUCAUAAAACAGGGUAAAUGUAUCUUAAUUUAAGAGUCUUUAGUUUUUGCACAUUUGAAAACAAGGCAGAAAUACUGUGUUUUAACAGUGACUGGAUCAUAAAUCAAAUGUUAUUUGACUGAAGGGUUAGGUAAGUAAUGAUAAUUUGUAACUGAUACAGAACUUAAUAGGUAGCCAGUGCAGAGACUGUAAAAUUGGGGUAAUAUGAUCAUAUUUUCUUGACCUCGUAAGGACUCUAGCUGCUGUAUUGUGGACGACCUGUAGCUUGUUUAUUGACGAAGCAGGACAACCACCUAGAAGUGCAUUACAAUAGUCCAGUCUAGAGGUCAUGAAUGCAUGAACUAGCUUUUCUGCAUCAGAAACAGAUAACAUGUUUCGUAGCUUGGCAAUGUUUCUAAGAUGGAAGAAUGCAGUUUUUGUAACAUGGGAAAUAUGAUUUUCAAAAGACAAAUUGCUGUCUAAUAUAACACCCAGAUUUCUGACUGUAGAGGAAGUAACAGUACAUCCGUCUAGUUGCAGAUUGUAGUCUACGAGAUUCAGUGUAGUGUUUUUUGGUCCAAUAAUUAAUAUCUCCGUCUUAUCCGAAUUUAAUUGGAGAAAAUUAUUGGUCAUCCAAUCUUUUACAUUUUUAACACACUCUGUUAGCUUAGAUAAUUGGGAAGUUUCAUCUGGUCUCGUUGAGAUAUAUAGCUGAGUAUCAUCAGCAUAACAGUGGAAGCUAAUUCUGUAUUUUCUAAUAAUAUUACCAAGGGGCAACAUGUAUAUUGAAAAUAGAAGGGGACCUAGGACGGAUCCUUGUGGCACUCCAUAUUUUACUGAUGAUAAACGAGAUUAUCAUUGAGAUUAGACUCUCUGUUUAAAUCGAUUUCAUUUAAAGAGAUCGGACAGGUAGGAUCUAAACCAUCUUAGAGCCUGUCCUUGAAUACCUGUAUAGUUUUGUGAUUGAUCUAUGAGUAUGUCAUGAUCUAUGGUGUCGAACGCAGCACCAGUUCUAACAUUAGCACUCUUCUAAGACUCAAUAUUGCACUUCAUUUAAUGCCUCAUUGUCUUACUGUGAGAUUCAGAUGUGGUGACUGACAAUUUGUGGUCAUUUAAAGAGAAUAGUGUCAUGAACUUGUGAUUAGUCAGUGAAAGAAAGCGAAUCAUCCUUUUCAUCUGAUUCUCAUCUCACCGCCACAGGAAUUGGCCUCUACAUUUAUAGAGUCCUUCUUUCCUUUGCAAACCAAUUUCUGUAAUUACGUGCGGAAGCCCAACAAAACCACAGAUGUUUGGAUCCUCUUCACAGGUCUGAUGGAAACUUCCUGUUAUUGCAGGAGCUUGUCGAUGGGCAGGAGAUGUUUGAUGUCUGGGAUAAUUAAAGUAUCUCUGCGUGUGUUUGACUCUUUGACCCUGACAGAUUGAGACUUACAGUGGGAUCAGUCUGACAGAUUCAGUCUAAUCAUCCCACAUGUCCAGGCACAUUAGAUUCUAUAGCGCUUAAACAACACCGAUCGAUUCAAAACAGCUUCACAAGAAUAAACAGGAAAAUAAACAGUGUUAAAUUCACCCAUACUUGAAACAAAUUCAGUUUUAGUUAUCAUUGAUGUUUAGUUAUUUAUAAAUGAAAAAAAAAAUGGAUCAUGAAGCCGGUGUACAGAUGUUCCUGUGGAAGCUUGUAACUUUUUAAUCUUACAACGGUUUUUUAUUUUACAUUUUUU
Molecule: long non-coding RNA, 5711 nt
Filed under: Carassius auratus (goldfish)
Lineage: Eukaryota; Metazoa; Chordata; Actinopteri; Cypriniformes; Cyprinidae
Description: lncRNA (ENSCARG00000008626.1)
Source: RNAcentral